Molecule: ribosomal RNA, 274 nt
Filed under: uncultured bacterium
Lineage: Bacteria
Description: partial 16S ribosomal RNA
Rfam family: Bacterial small subunit ribosomal RNA
Source: RNAcentral
AGACGGAGGGGGCUAGUGUUAUUCGGAAUCACUGGGCGUAAAGAGUACGUAGGCGGUUUGGUAAGUCAGGUGUGAAAUCCCGGAGCUCAACUCCGGAACUGCAUCCGAUACUGCCAGACUUGAGUAAUGGAGAGGCAGGUGGAAUUCUCGGUGUAGCAGUGAAAUGCGUGGAUAUCGAGAGGAAGACCAAUGGCGAAGGCAGCCUGCUGGACAUUUACUGACGCUGAGGUACGAAGGCUAGGGGAGCGAAAGGGAUUAGAAACCCCAGUAGUCC